RNAcentral lists this ribosomal RNA (447 nucleotides) under uncultured bacterium. RNAcentral's name for it is "partial 16S ribosomal RNA". It matches the Rfam family "Bacterial small subunit ribosomal RNA", at positions 29 to 523 of the family's 1533-position model. The record is from RNAcentral.
AGCGAACGCUGGCGGCAGGCUUAACACAUGCAAGUCGAGCGCCCCGCAAGGGGAGCGGCAGACGGGUGAGUAACACGUGGGAACGUGCCUUUUGGUUCGGAACAACUCAGGGAAACUUGGGCUAAUACCGGAUAAGUCCUUACGGGGAAAGAUUUAUCGCCAAAAGAUCGGCCCGCGUCUGACUAGCUAGUUGGUGGGGUAAUGGCCCACCAAGGCUACGAUCAGUAGCUGGUCUGAGAGGAUGAUCAGCCACAUUGGGACUGAGCCACGGCCCAAACUCCUACGGGAGGCAGCAGUGGAGAAUAUUGGACAAUGGGGGCAACCCUGAUCCAGCCAUGCCGCGUGAGUGAUGAAGGCCUUAGGGUUGUAAAGCUCUUUUAGCAGGGAAGAUAAUGACGGUACCUGCAGAAAAAGCCCCGGCUAACUUCGUGCCAGCCGCCGCUGUAA